GUCGUUGUAGUAUAGUGGUGAGUAUUCUCGCCUGUCACGCGGGUGACCCCAGUUCGAUCCCCGGCAAUGGCG
Picea glauca (white spruce) is the source of this 72-nucleotide non-coding RNA. NCBI's taxonomy places the organism in Eukaryota, Viridiplantae, Streptophyta, Pinopsida, Pinales, Pinaceae. The record is from Rfam.